Molecule: unclassified non-coding RNA, 379 nt
Filed under: fungal sp.
Lineage: Eukaryota; Fungi
Description: partial internal transcribed spacer region
Rfam family: Eukaryotic small subunit ribosomal RNA (bases 1-46)
Source: RNAcentral
AAGUCGUAACAAGGUAACCGUAGGUGAACCUGCGGUUGGAUCAUUAACAAAAAAGCAUGGGCUGCUUACAAUUGCCUUACGCAUAAGAAAAAACAUUAGCUGCAAAGUGCCUUCUUUACGGGAAGGUACUUUACUGCCGAUGGGCCUUGUGCGUAUCCUUCGGGAAACAUUGUGUGCACUGUUUUUGUCUCUGGCGGCGGGGCUAGUAUUGGGGCAUACAGCAGUAUGCUUCCAUGCUUGCCUGUCAGCCUGGUGUAAAAAGCCAAGGCCGUGGACAAACCGCCAAAUUAUUAAACAACUUGUAAUUCUAACUUUGAGUCUGACUUCAGUUUAUAUUAAAUUAUACAAACAACUUUUGGCAACGGAUCUCUUGGCUCUC